Molecule: ribosomal RNA, 931 nt
Filed under: Cortinarius sp. PDD 106478
Lineage: Eukaryota; Fungi; Basidiomycota; Agaricomycetes; Agaricales; Cortinariaceae
Description: partial large subunit ribosomal RNA
Rfam family: Eukaryotic large subunit ribosomal RNA
Source: RNAcentral
CAUAUCAAUAAGCGGAGGAAAAGAAACUAACAAGGAUUCCCCUAGUAACUGCGAGUGAAGCGGGAAAAGCUCAAAUUUAAAAUCUGACAGUCUUUUGGCUGUCCGAGUUGUAAUCUAGAGAAGUGUUAUCCGCGCUGGACCGUGUACAAGUCUCCUGGAAUGGAGUGUCGUAGAGGGUGAGAAUCCCGUCUUUGACACGGACUGCCAGGGCUUUGUGAUGCGCUCUCAAAGAGUCGAGUUGUUUGGGAAUGCAGCUCAAAAUGGGUGGUAAAUUCCAUCUAAAGCUAAAUAUUGGCGAGAGACCGAUAGCGAACAAGUACCGUGAGGGAAAGAUGAAAAGCACUUUGGAAAGAGAGUUAAACAGUACGUGAAAUUGCUGAAAGGGAAACGCUUGAAGUCAGUCACGUUGUCCAGGGAUCCAACCUUGCUUUUGCUUGGUCUACUUUCUGGUUGACGGGUCAGCAUCAAUUUUGACUAUUGGAAAAAGAUUAGGGGAAUGUGGCAUCUCUGGAUGUGUUAUAGCCCUUGGUUGUAUACAAUGGUUGGGAUUGAGGAACUCAGCACGCCGAAAGGCCGGGUUUUUAACCACGUUCGUGCUUAGGAUGCUGGCAUAAUGGCUUUAAUCGACCCGUCUUGAAACACGGACCAAGGAGUCUAACAUGCCUGCGAGUGUUUGGGUGGAAAACCCGAGCGCAUAAUGAAAGUGAAAGUUGAGAUCCCUGUCGUGGGGAGCAUCGACGCCCGGACCAGACCUUUUGUGACGGUUCCGCGGUAGAGCAUGUAUGUUGGGACCCGAAAGAUGGUGAACUAUGCCUGAAUAGGGUGAAGCCAGAGGAAACUCUGGUGGAGGCUCGUAGCGAUUCUGACGUGCAAAUCGAUCGUCAAAUUUGGGUAUAGGGGCGAAAGACUAAUCGAACCAUCUAGUAGCUGG